CAGCAAAAUGCGAGACAGUUCGGGAGGAUGGCCAUUGAGAAGAUCAGCACCUGUUGUUAGAGGCUCCCUACAGUUUAAUUCGCAAGGUCAGAUAUGAGAGAAAGGAAGCUGUCUGCGCAGCUCCUACCCUUCCUGAAGCCAUAUUGCACAUGAGGAAUGAUGCCGUUAGAUUCAACAAACCAGUCAAGUCGACACUUAAUAAUAUUUUCAAAUAUUUUGCCUAUACAUGAAGACAAGGAUAUAGGUCGAUAUGAAUCGGCGUUAUUUGGAGGUUUACCAGGCUUAAGGACUGGGAUCACACAUUGCGUUUUCCAAGACUGCGGAAUUAUUUGUUUCGACCAUAAUGCAUUGAAGAUGGCUAAUAAAAUAUCUAGUACUGUUGAA
Molecule: long non-coding RNA, 384 nt
Organism: Leguminivora glycinivorella
Lineage: Eukaryota; Metazoa; Arthropoda; Insecta; Lepidoptera; Tortricidae
Exons: 2
Source: RefSeq, a predicted model, not a curated record